Molecule: long non-coding RNA, 367 nt
Filed under: Salvia miltiorrhiza (redroot sage)
Lineage: Eukaryota; Viridiplantae; Streptophyta; Magnoliopsida; Lamiales; Lamiaceae
Description: long non-coding RNA (SMIL_LNC013116)
Source: RNAcentral
UAAGAGAGAGAGAGAGAGAGAGAGAGAGAGAGAGAGAUGAAGACGAUCGCGGAGGAUGUGUUUGUCCAAUGGUUUCAAGUUGAAGAGAGCGUAUCCUCUCAGAAAAGAGAUAAAGAGCGAAGGCCAUAUCACAGACACUGCAGCUGUGCGCUGCACACGAGUGUCGCCGCCGCAUGUUCUCAUCACAGGAACGUUACGAUGAAGAAGAAGCAGCCAUCGCACCACUGCUCUUUGUCUCUCCAAUCUGCCAAUAAAGAGGUCUUCACCAGAGCUACAUUACAUCAAUGGAUGUUCGUCUAGUUGCUUAUUUUCACGUUUUACUAUUUUAUUAUUUAAGAUUAUACCCGUUUCAUAAUUGUAGCCAACC